UACGUAGGGUGCAAGCGUUGUCCGGAAUUAUUGGGCGUAAAGAGCUCGUAGGCGGUCUGUUGCGUCGGCUGUGAAAACCCGAGGCUCAACCUCGGGCCUGCAGCCGAUACGGGCAGACUAGAGUUCGGCAGGGGAGACUGGAAUUCCUGGUGUAGCAGUGAAAUGCGUAGAUAUCAGGAGGAACACCGAUGGCGAAGGCAGGUCUCUGGGCUGACACUGACGCUCAUGCACGAAAGCGUGGGGAGCAAACAGG
RNAcentral lists this ribosomal RNA (253 nucleotides) under uncultured bacterium. RNAcentral describes it as "partial 16S ribosomal RNA". It matches the Rfam family "Bacterial small subunit ribosomal RNA", at positions 524 to 776 of the family's 1533-position model. The record is from RNAcentral.